AACGUAGGAGACUAGCGUUAAUCGGAAUUACUGGGCGUAAAGCGUGCGCAGGCGGUUAUGUAAGACAGUUGUGAAAUCCCCGGGCUCAACCUGGGAACUGCAUCUGUGACUGCAUAGCUAGAGUACGGUAGAGGGGGAUGGAAUUCCGCGUGUAGCAGUGAAAUGCGUAGAUAUGCGGAGGAACACCGAUGGCGAAGGCAAUCCCCUGGACCUGUACUGACGCUCAUGCACGAAAGGCGUGGGGAGCAAACAGG
RNAcentral lists this ribosomal RNA (254 nucleotides) under uncultured bacterium. RNAcentral's name for it is "partial 16S ribosomal RNA". It matches the Rfam family "Bacterial small subunit ribosomal RNA", at positions 524 to 776 of the family's 1533-position model. The record is from RNAcentral.